Long non-coding RNA from Folsomia candida, 333 nucleotides. RefSeq lists it as uncharacterized. Lineage: Eukaryota; Metazoa; Arthropoda; Collembola; Entomobryomorpha; Isotomidae. The record is from RefSeq and is a predicted model, not a curated record. The transcript has 3 exons.
CCAACUAUGAUUUCGAUCCAUUCAGAAUAUGGGAAAUCGGCGUGAAUUCGGAAGCAAGACAGGAUUUAUUACAGUUUGACAUGCUGGAUGCUGAAGAUAUUUAUGUGAAAAAGAGAGACGUGAAUUACAAUGACUUUCUCAUUCCUGUCAAACAAAUUGAGGGUGUGCAUAAUCUACAGGACGAUCAGCAAGAAACCCCCACCUUGCAGAACUUACCACGCGUCCGUCACUUUCAUAAUUUUAGAUAAAUCAUAAAAUCUAAGGAAACUAAGUUACCGUUACCAAAUUAAUUUGUAAUUAUUUACAAAUAAAAAUUUGCCAAUUUUACUUCAA